ACGGAAGGCAGCAGUGGGGAAUAUUGGGCAAUGGGCGAAAGCCUGACCCAGCAACGCCGCGUGAAGGAAGAAGGCCUUCGGGUUGUAAACUUCUUUUAUCAGGGACGAAGAAUGUGACGGUACCUGAUGAAUAAGCCACGGCUAACUACGUGCCAGCAGCCGCGGUAAUACGUAGGUGGCAAGCGUUAUCCGGAUUUAUUAGGUUUAAAGGGUGCGCAGGCGGGACACUAAGUCGGCGGUGAAAUCUCAUGGCCCAACCAUGAAACUGCCAUCGAUACUGGUGACCUUGAGUACGAAUGAGGAAGGCGGAAUGAGUCGUGUAGCGGUGAAAUGCUUAGAUAUGACUCAGAACACCAAUUGCGAAGGCAGCUUUCCAAAACGCAACUGACGCUCAUGCACGAAAGCGUGGGUAGCGAACAGGAUUAGAUACCCUGGUA
This 437-nucleotide ribosomal RNA is filed under the name uncultured Pseudoflavonifractor sp. RNAcentral's name for it is "partial 16S ribosomal RNA". It matches the Rfam family "Bacterial small subunit ribosomal RNA", at positions 341 to 792 of the family's 1533-position model. Lineage: Bacteria; Bacillati; Bacillota; Clostridia; Eubacteriales; Oscillospiraceae. The record is from RNAcentral.